AGAAGAACCCAAAAUGAUUCCAGUGAUCUGAGGAGGUGGGCAGAAGACACUGGGUUGAGCAGACUUGAGUCUACAUGCUCUUCUCACAAAACCCUGUAGAAGACAGAAGGAAGAUACAGAAGACCUGGAAUAGAAAAGCUUAAAUGACCGGUGUGGGAGAAAGAAUGCAUUUUGUAGCUGCAUGAUUUACAGUAGUGGCCUGUUUCAUCGGUAUCAUCACUAUGUGAAGAAAGAGAAAAAUGUGAGAAGCAGCAAGAAUAGAUCAUUAUAACAACAGCAGCAAUGUUCUUUAUCAUUUUGGACUUGUCACUCUUUCAAUGAUUAGGUACUUGGCCAAUAUAUAAUUGGUGGUAUGUUUCAAAAAUUAAUGGAUUCAAUGCUUUUUACAUGCAAGCAAAAAUUGUUAAAGAUAUUCUAUAGGAGUUUUUUUUUUAUUUU
Molecule: long non-coding RNA, 438 nt
Organism: Parus major (Great Tit)
Lineage: Eukaryota; Metazoa; Chordata; Aves; Passeriformes; Paridae
Exons: 3
Source: RefSeq, a predicted model, not a curated record